GACGAACGCUGGCGGCGUGCUUAACACAUGCAAGUCGAACGGAAAGGCCUGCUUUCCCUUGUGGAUUGCGGGUACUCGAGUGGCGAACGGGCGAGUAACACGUGAGUGAUCUGCCCCCAACUUGGGUAUAAGCCUGGGAAACUGGGUCUAAUUCCCGAUAGGCCCGCAGGGUGGCGCCUGCGGUGGAAAACGAUUUUCUAGUGGUUGGGGAUGAGCUCGCGGCCUAUCAGCUUGUUGGUGGGGUAAUGGCCUACCAAGGCGGCGACGGGUAGCCGGCCUGAGAGGGUGGACGGCCACAUUGGGACUGAGAUACGACCCAGACUCCUACGGAAGGCAGCAGUUGGGAAGAUUGGACAAGGGGCGGAAGCCUGAUGCAGCGACGCCGCGUGGGGGAUGACGGCCUUCGGGUUGUAAACUCCUUUCGACCGCGAGGAAGCCACCUAGUUGGAAGGGUGGUGACGGUAGUGGUAGAAGAAGCACCGGCUAACUACGUG
RNAcentral lists this ribosomal RNA (494 nucleotides) under uncultured bacterium. Its description in RNAcentral is "partial 16S ribosomal RNA". It matches the Rfam family "Bacterial small subunit ribosomal RNA", at positions 28 to 507 of the family's 1533-position model. The record is from RNAcentral.